RNAcentral lists this transfer RNA (62 nucleotides) under Stylochyrus rarior. RNAcentral's name for it is "tRNA-Ala". The record is from RNAcentral. Lineage: Eukaryota; Metazoa; Arthropoda; Arachnida; Mesostigmata; Ologamasidae.
AGAAAAGUAUUUAAAUAGAUAAAAACUAAUUUGCAUUUAGAAAUUGCUAAAAGCCUUCUCUA